UACGGGGGGAGCAAGCGUUGUUCGGAUUUACUGGGCGUAAAGGGCGCGUAGGCGGUCGUGACAAGUCACUUGUGAAAUCUCCGGGCUUAACUCGGAACGGUCAAGUGAUACUGUCGGACUAGAGUACAGAAGGGGCAACUGGAAUUCUCGGUGUAGCGGUGAAAUGCGUAGAUAUCGAGAGGAACACCAGCGGCGAAGGCGGCACUCUGGGCUGGAACUGACGCUGAGGAGCGAAAGCGUGGGUAGCAAACAGG
This 254-nucleotide ribosomal RNA is filed under the name uncultured bacterium. RNAcentral's name for it is "partial 16S ribosomal RNA". It matches the Rfam family "Bacterial small subunit ribosomal RNA", at positions 524 to 776 of the family's 1533-position model. The record is from RNAcentral.